ACUACGUUAGUAUAUUAGUACGCCUGCCUUCCAAGCGGGAAGUUUGAGGAACAAACCUAGUA
Molecule: transfer RNA, 62 nt
Filed under: Platynereis massiliensis
Lineage: Eukaryota; Metazoa; Annelida; Polychaeta; Phyllodocida; Nereididae
Description: tRNA-Gly
Source: RNAcentral